This 669-nucleotide long non-coding RNA is filed under the name Nicotiana benthamiana. RNAcentral's name for it is "long non-coding RNA (NBEN_LNC035883)". Lineage: Eukaryota; Viridiplantae; Streptophyta; Magnoliopsida; Solanales; Solanaceae. The record is from RNAcentral.
UACGCUAAUUUUUAUUAUAACGUUAUUCACCCCCCUCUAGCGUUAAGCGUAUUAUCUAACAAAAAUCAGAACGAAAUGAAACACGGAUAGAAGAAAUGAUACUUGACGCAACUAACCAGAUCAGAACCACAACGCCAACGGCAGACUAUCUUCAAUAUAUCAACCGAGAAUAAUUCGAACCAAACUCUGUACAACAGCCGUAACCAUUGAGCUAGCUGACCAACGAAAUCCCUAACAGAUUGCCCAUAAAAAACGAAAUCCAAAACCAAACAGAGCUCAUUAUAGCAACAGCAACAAACGAGCAACUAACAACCACCAAAUUUGUGCUUCAAACAGCCUCUUAUAGAUCCAGGGAACGGAAUUUGCACUUUGAAAAAUUAUCCAACCAAACAUUUUUCCCUCGCUUAUUCGAAUUGCUUUCUAUCUAUUUUAUUUGUCUUUGCGAUUUUUCCUUUAGCUCCCUUAAUCGCUGGUGAGUGUGACGAUGAACCCAAAAAAGCGAGAGAGGAAAAGCUUGAUCCCCCACUAUGUUCCUAAAAAAAAUGAAGAUGAAUAAGAAGUCCAGAUAAAAAAUGGGGGGUUCCCCCACUUUUGGCGUGGCGUGUUUUUGUAGAGGAGAGGGUCUGUCGAUUAUUGCUUGCUCUUCUUUAGAGUAAGGGGAGCUCUUUU